Molecule: unclassified non-coding RNA, 89 nt
Filed under: Pseudomonas libanensis
Lineage: Bacteria; Pseudomonadati; Pseudomonadota; Gammaproteobacteria; Pseudomonadales; Pseudomonadaceae
Source: RNAcentral
UGUGGGAGCUGGCUUGCCUGCGAUAGCGUCGAUUCAGUCAGCAUGGCUGUGGCUGAUACACCGCGAUCGCAGGCAAGCCAGCUCCCACA